Molecule: ribosomal RNA, 275 nt
Filed under: uncultured Brevundimonas sp.
Lineage: Bacteria; Pseudomonadati; Pseudomonadota; Alphaproteobacteria; Caulobacterales; Caulobacteraceae
Description: partial 16S ribosomal RNA
Rfam family: Bacterial small subunit ribosomal RNA
Source: RNAcentral
CCUACGGGUGGCUGCAGUGGGGAAUCUUGCGCAAUGGGCGAAAGCCUGACGCAGCCAUGCCGCGUGGAUGAUGAAGGUCUUAGGAUUGUAAAAUCCUUUCACCGGUGAAGAUAAUGACUGUAGCCGGAGAAGAAGCCCCGGCUAACUUCGUGCCAGCAGCCGCGGUAAUACGAAGGGGGCUAGCGUUGCUCGGAAUUACUGGGCGUAAAGGGAGCGUAGGCGGACAUUUAAGUCAGGGGUGAAAUCCCGAGGCUCAACCUCGGAACUGCCUUUGA